GGGUGUUUGUGUCUAUAUUCACCAGGGAUAUUAGCCUAUAGUUUUCUUUUUAUGUUGUGUCUUUGCCAGAUUUUGGUAUCAGGAUGAUGCUGGCUUCAUAGGA
Sapajus apella (tufted capuchin) is the source of this 103-nucleotide long non-coding RNA. RefSeq lists it as uncharacterized. Lineage: Eukaryota; Metazoa; Chordata; Mammalia; Primates; Cebidae. The transcript is spliced from 3 exons. The record is from RefSeq and is a predicted model, not a curated record.